CGGACGGGUGGGUAAUGUCUGGGGAAAACGCCCGAUGGAGGGGGAUAACUACUGGAAACGGUAGCUAAUACCGCAUAACGUCGCAAGACCAAAGAGGGGGACCUCCGGGCCUCUUGCCAUCGGAUGUGCCCAGAUGGGAUUAGCUAGUAGGUGGGGUAACGGCUCACCUAGGCGACGAUCCCUAGCUGGUCUGAGAGGAUGACCAGCCACACUGGAACUGAGACACGGUCCAG
RNAcentral lists this ribosomal RNA (233 nucleotides) under uncultured bacterium. RNAcentral describes it as "partial 16S ribosomal RNA". It matches the Rfam family "Bacterial small subunit ribosomal RNA", at positions 99 to 334 of the family's 1533-position model. The record is from RNAcentral.